UACGUAGGGGGCAAGCGUUGUUCGGAAUUACUGGGCGUAAAGGGCGCGUAGGCGGCAUGGCAAGUCAGGAGUGAAAGCCCGGGGCUCAACCCCGGAACGUCUUUUGAAACUGCCAAGCUAGAGUGCGGAAGAGGCAACUGGAAUUCCCAGUGUAGCGGUGAAAUGCGUAGAUAUUGGGAAGAACACCUGAGGCGAAGGCGGGUUGCUGGGCCGACACUGACGCUGAGGCGCGAAAGCCAGGGGAGCGAACGGG
RNAcentral lists this ribosomal RNA (253 nucleotides) under uncultured bacterium. RNAcentral describes it as "partial 16S ribosomal RNA". It matches the Rfam family "Bacterial small subunit ribosomal RNA", at positions 524 to 776 of the family's 1533-position model. The record is from RNAcentral.